UGUGCCAGCAGCCGCGGUAAUACGUAAGGUCCGAGCGUUGUCCGGAAUCAUUGGGCGUAAAGGGUACGUAGGCGGGUAAGCAAGUUAGAAGUGAAAUCCUAUAGCUCAACUAUAGUAAGCUUUUAAAACUGUUUAUCUUGAGGUAUGGAAGGGAAAGUGGAAUUCCUAGUGUAGCGGUGAAAUGCGCAGAUAUUAGGAGGAAUACCGGUGGCGAAGGCGACUUUCUGGCCAUAACCUG
Molecule: ribosomal RNA, 238 nt
Filed under: uncultured Eubacteriales bacterium
Lineage: Bacteria; Bacillati; Bacillota; Clostridia; Eubacteriales
Description: uncultured Clostridiales bacterium partial 16S ribosomal RNA
Rfam family: Bacterial small subunit ribosomal RNA
Source: RNAcentral